ACUGCUGCCUCGCCGGCUGGCUAGGUCACUCUGUAACUAAGGCUUUUGCCUAUUAAAUACCCUUAUAUUUCUACUUGGCUCCGUAUUGGUAAUUUCCCACUAUAGAGAUUCACCAAGAAGUCAUGCCGCGGAGCUAGCCCAAGAGAGGGCUAUGUGUGCAGGUGGCAGAACUGGGGCUCAUAGUUAUGAAAUUGCCUCAGUGAAUGUCUGAAGGGACUGCACUUACAUAUUUGAACAGCGUUGAGACUGUUAAGAACAACUGGGGCUUUUGAAGUUGGACUGGAUGCAUUUUGCAUUAUGAGAUGCCCAUGAGCUUGUGGGGAUAAAAGAUGCCAAGCUUGGAGACACAGCUUUCCUGUUUUCUAAGAAGAGCAAAGAUUAAAACGAAGCUGUCUUGGGAUCAUUCCGAAGCUCCAGAAAACAAAGUGAGCUGGAGGACGCGGACAAAGAGCAGAUCACUAAAACAGCUUUCUACAGGAAGCAGAAGCAUGCCUUAGGAGACGUCUGCUCUGUGUCCACAAAGAUGAGGCAGGAGAACCUGAAUUAUACAACACAGUGAAAAAGCCACAAAGAAAGCAUGAGUUACAUGGGGCAGGGUUGGGGGAGCAAAUAGCUCUAGAGGUAGAGUUCAGGGUGUCAUUCCUCUGGCAGCAGACAUCCAAGUAUGACAGGUUGGGUGGCCCCUGCAGGCAGUCUGUUCAGCUUAGCACAUGCAGGACACAAGCCACUCAGCAUGGGUCCUGUCACUCUGCAUCCCACUCCUGCCCACUCCUACUGCCCAGGCCUUCCCAGAAGGUUGCCUGGAAAGCAGAGUGCCAUGAAUUCUGACCUCUCCACUCUUCCAUCUUUGCAGGGAAGGCUGCCUUGGAGCCAGCUUCCCAUGAAGGCCCCUUCCAGGGUUACAUGGGCCUCCUCUAAAGAUGUAUAGGCAAAGUUUAAAAAACCCCAAUACUAUAAAAACCAGACAAGACUGAAAAAGGACAACAAAUCCACCAUAUCGGUUUUCAUUUGUAAUAAAGGCCAGUGUUCCUCCAGGAAAUGGACUGACUCCAAGAAAAAGGAGAAAUCAUUCAAAAAUCCAGAUUUGGAAUCUCAGGAAAAUGUCAGAGAAAUGUAAGUCUAUGAAAGACAAUAUGUGAUGAGAAAAAUAUUUAAAUUGAAAAACAUAGUUAUCCCCAGUAAAAAUGUGCAGAAGUAUCGGGGAGCGUAUCAGGUGGAGAAACCUGCAUGGGCAAACAGUUGGUGGGAAUUACUGGGUAGCUGUUACAGCAUAGCGCCAAAGGCCUCCCUCAGGGAAGGAAAGUUACAAAGGCAUAAAGAGGAUGCAGACCAAGUUGAGAACCAACGAGAGACCCAGGACAGACGGCAGUGACAGAGUUGUGGGCUUGAGGCACAGUGCUCAGGGCUGUCAAAUGGAACAAAACCAGAAGUGGUAAAAGGACAGGCAGGCACAGCUGGAAAACCCCCAAAGACCCUAAAACAGUUCUUCCUGUCACAGAAAAAUAUGCCUUGCUGCAGAGGCUUCAGUAGUGACUGCCGAGAGGCUGUGGCUGUCAUGUAAGAACACAUCACCUUCUCCUGAGGAUGUUCUUGAUCUUGCUGCAGGAAGGAAUAUAACGUUUUCAAGUUUCUUUAAAGGAGAUGGCACAAACCUGAAUAGAAUCAUAGUAAAAACAGUGAUUAAAACAUAGAACUCUGAAAGUCUCCAGGAUGAAAAUGGUGUGGUGUGGACUCUGUUCCCUCCAGCCACAGGCAGACAGAACUGUAGUCAGUGUCCCACCAGGACUUCUGUACAGAACAUAAACAAAAGGCUUUAAGGUUUAUCUAGACCCAUAAAGAAAGUUCUAGAAAAAAACCUGGUUAAAUUGUCUGGUAAAUUGCUGUAGCUAUUAAAGAACCGUUGGUGUGUUUCAAUGAUCAGGAUAGCCUUGAAAUGACCUCAGGGAAGGCGGGGCAGAAACACAUGCCUUAAAAUGUGGAUACACAUAGGAGAUUUCCUAAAUAAUAAGGGUGACAUUAAAUCACGCUAGGAAAGGGCUAUUACCCAGUAAAAUAUAUUAGCACAACUCAUUAUGCAUUUGGCAAAACACUGGCCACAAAAUUACAGCAGUAAUAAACUGUGAUCGUUAUCAAGUUAAUUAAAUGCAAGAUAGAAAGCCACAGAGCAUUAGAAAGAAGUACAGGGCAAUACUUGUAAUCUUGAGCCAGAACCUCAAAGCUUGAAGGGCGGUGGAUAGAACUAACUGUAUAAACAAACAGGCAAAUACCACAACGACUACCAAAGCAUCUUCAGGAUGGAAAACAUGACAAUAAGCAUUA
Molecule: non-coding RNA, 2319 nt
Organism: Cricetulus griseus (Chinese hamster)
Lineage: Eukaryota; Metazoa; Chordata; Mammalia; Rodentia; Cricetidae
Source: RefSeq, a predicted model, not a curated record